UAGGGAGCGAGCGUUAUCCGGAUUUAUUGGGUGUAAAGGGUGCGUAGACGGAUGAACAAGUUAGUUGUGAAAUCCCUCGGCUUAACUGAGGAACUGCAACUAAAACUAUUGAUCUUGAGUGCUGGAGGGGAAAGCGGAAUUCCUAGUGUAGCGGUGAAAUGCGUAGAUAUUAGGAAGAACACCGGUGGCGAAGGCGGCUUUCUGGACAGUAACUGACGUUGAGGCACGAAAGUGUGGGGAGCAAA
RNAcentral lists this ribosomal RNA (245 nucleotides) under uncultured bacterium. RNAcentral's name for it is "partial 16S ribosomal RNA". It matches the Rfam family "Bacterial small subunit ribosomal RNA", at positions 528 to 772 of the family's 1533-position model. The record is from RNAcentral.